RNAcentral lists this long non-coding RNA (444 nucleotides) under Pan troglodytes (chimpanzee). RNAcentral describes it as "long non-coding RNA NONPTRT009748". The record is from RNAcentral. Lineage: Eukaryota; Metazoa; Chordata; Mammalia; Primates; Hominidae.
ACUAUCCCCAACUCCCCACUUCUGCCCCAAGGGUGGUCACUGCCUGUGAUACAUUCCUCAGUGUCGCCUCUGAGCCCAGGCCUCCUGCCACAAAGACUGGGCCGAGAGAUGGGGCUGGAAAGAGAAAAUGAAUAAAAAUGAUGACUUCAAGUGUGUCCCCAGCCAGUGUGUCAGGCCCGAGGCUCUUCUGGGCAGGAGUCCCGGGCUGCAGGGACCCCAGGGUCAAAGGCUCCACUGGUAUGUGCGGCAGCAGCCCCUCCCGUGGCACUCUGAGGAUAGCGCCUUCCCUCCAUCCUAUCCUUGGCAAACUGACUGCUGCAGCCUGCUGCUGUCCCUGACCCCUCUCCUGCCAUUGAUCCCACCUCCCCCAGAGCUGACACUGCCUCGCCUUGUGAUGCUGGCCAGAAGGCUGGGCUCCCCUUGUGGUUUUCCCCAGCUCCCUGC